GAUGAACGCUGGCGGCGUGCCUAAUACAUGCAAGUCGAGCGAACGGACGAGAAGCUUGCUUCUCUGACGUUAGCGGCGGACGGGUGAGUAACACGUGGAUAACCUACCUAUAAGACUGGGAUAACUUCGGGAAACCGGAGCUAAUACCGGAUAAUAUUUUGAACCGCAUGGUUCAAAAGUGAAAGACGGUCUUGCUGUCACUUAUAGAUGGAUCUGCGCUGCAUUAGCUAGUUGGUAAGGUAACGGCUUACCAAGGCAACGAUGCAUAGCCGACCUGAGAGGGUGAUCGGCCACACUGGAACUGAGACACGGUCCAGACUCCUACGGGAGGCAGCAGUAGGGAAUCUUCCGCAAUGGGCGAAAGCCUGACGGAGCAACGCCGCGUGAGUGAUGAAGGUCUUCGGAUCGUAAAACUCUGUUAUUAGGGAAGAACAUAUGUGUAAGUAACUGUGCACAUCUUGACGGUACCUAAUCAGAAAGCCACGGCUAACUACGUG
Molecule: ribosomal RNA, 497 nt
Filed under: uncultured bacterium
Lineage: Bacteria
Description: partial 16S ribosomal RNA
Rfam family: Bacterial small subunit ribosomal RNA
Source: RNAcentral